RNAcentral lists this ribosomal RNA (252 nucleotides) under uncultured bacterium. RNAcentral's name for it is "partial 16S ribosomal RNA". It matches the Rfam family "Bacterial small subunit ribosomal RNA", at positions 524 to 776 of the family's 1533-position model. The record is from RNAcentral.
UACGUAGGGUGCGAGCGUUGUCCGGAAUUAUUGGGCGUAAAGAGCUCGUAGGCGGCUUGUCGCGUCGGAUGUGAAAGCCCGGGGCUUAACUCCGGGUCUGCAUUCGAUACGGGCAGGCUAGAGUGUGGUAGGGGAGAUCGAAUUCCUGGUGUAGCGGUGAAAUGCGCAGAUAUCAGGAGGAACACCGGUGGCGAAGGCGGGUCUCUGGGCCGUAACUGACGCUGAGGAGCGAAAGCGUGGGGAGCGAACAGG